RNAcentral lists this ribosomal RNA (622 nucleotides) under uncultured bacterium. RNAcentral's name for it is "bacterial SSU rRNA". It matches the Rfam family "Bacterial small subunit ribosomal RNA", at positions 79 to 697 of the family's 1533-position model. The record is from RNAcentral.
CUUGCUUCUCUUGAGAGCGGCGGACGGGUGAGUAAUGCCUAGGAAUCUGCCUGGUAGUGGGGGAUAACGUCCGGAAACGGACGCUAAUACCGCAUACGUCCUACGGGAGAAAGCAGGGGACCUUCGGGCCUUGCGCUAUCAGAUGAGCCUAGGUCGGAUUAGCUAGUUGGUGGGGUAAUGGCUCACCAAGGCGACGAUCCGUAACUGGUCUGAGAGGAUGAUCAGUCACACUGGAACUGAGACACGGUCCAGACUCCUACGGGAGGCAGCAGUGGGGAAUAUUGGACAAUGGGCGAAAGCCUGAUCCAGCCAUGCCGCGUGUGUGAAGAAGGUCUUCGGAUUGUAAAGCACUUUAAGUUGGGAGGAAGGGCAGUAAAUUAAUACUUUGCUGUUUUGACGUUACCGACAGAAUAAGCACCGGCUAACUCUGUGCCAGCAGCCGCGGUAAUACAGAGGGUGCAAGCGUUAAUCGGAAUUACUGGGCGUAAAGCGCGCGUAGGUGGUUCGUUAAGUUGGAUGUGAAAUCCCCGGGCUCAACCUGGGAACUGCAUUCAAAACUGACGAGCUAGAGUAUGGUAGAGGGUGGUGGAAUUUCCUGUGUAGCGGUGAAAUGCGUAGAUAU